AUUGAACGCUGGCGGCAUGCCUUACACAUGCAAGUCGAACGGCAGCACGGGUGCUUGCACCUGGUGGCGAGUGGCGAACGGGUGAGUAAUAUAUCGGAACGUACCUUAUUGUGGGGGAUAACGCAGCGAAAGCUGUGCUAAUACCGCAUAAUCCCUAAGGGGGAAAGCGGGGGACCGUAAGGCCUCGCGCAAUUAGAGCGGCCGAUACCUGAUUAGCUAGUUGGUGAGGUAAAGGCUCACCAAGGCAACGAUCAGUAGCUGGUUUGAGAGGACGGCCAGCCACACUGGGACUGAGACACGGCCCAGACUCCUACGGGAGGCAGCAGUGGGGAAUUUUGGACAAUGGGGGCAACCCUGAUCCAGAAAUGCCGCGUUAGUGAAGAAGGCCUUCGGGUUGUAAAGCUCUUUUGUCAGGGAAGAAACAGCAGCUCUAACACAGUUUGCGAAUGACGGUACCUGAAGAAUAAGCACCGGCUAACUACGUGCCAGCCGCCGCCGUAA
Molecule: ribosomal RNA, 501 nt
Filed under: uncultured bacterium
Lineage: Bacteria
Description: partial 16S ribosomal RNA
Rfam family: Bacterial small subunit ribosomal RNA
Source: RNAcentral